UGUAUGGUUAAGUGACUAAGCGUACACGGUGGAUGCCUGGGCAGUCAGAGGCGAUGAAGGACGUACUAACUUGCGAUAAGCGCAGAUAAGGCAGUAAGAGCCGUUUGAGUCUGCGAUUUCCGAAUGGGGAAACCCAACUGCAUAAGCAGUUACUGUUAACUGAAUACAUAGGUUAACAGAGCAAACCGGGGGAACUGAAACAUCUAAGUACCCCGAGGAGAAGAAAUCAACCGAGAUUCCGGUAGUAGCGGCGAGCGAACCUGGAUUAGCCCUUAAGCACUCGGUGAAGUAGGUGAACAAGCUGGAAAGCUUGGCGAUACAGGGUGAUAGCCCCGUAACCGACGCUUCAUCGAGCGUGAAAUCGAGUAGGGCGGGACACGUGAUAUCCUGUCUGAAUAUGGGGGGACCAUCCUCCAAGGCUAAAUACUCCUGACUGACCGAUAGUGAACCAGUACCGUGAGGGAAAGGCGAAAAGAACCCCUGUGAGGGGAGUGAAAUAGAACCUGAAACCGUGUACGUACAAGCAGUAGGAGCACCUUCGUGGUGUGACUGCGUACCUUUUGUAUAAUGGGUCAGCGACUUAUAUUCAGUGGCAAGGUUAACCGUAUAGGGGAGCCGUAGCGAAAGCGAGUCUUAACUGGGCGCUCAGUCUCUGGAUAUAGACCCGAAACCGGGUGAUCUAGCCAUGGGCAGGUUGAAGGUUGAGUAACAUCAACUGGAGGACCGAACCGACUAAUGUUGAAAAAUUAGCGGAUGACUUGUGGCUAGGGGUGAAAGGCCAAUCAAACUCGGAGAUAGCUGGUUCUCCCCGAAAGCUAUUUAGGUAGCGCCUCGGACGAAUACUACUGGGGGUAGAGCACUGUUAAGGCUAGGGGGUCAUCCCGACUUACCAACCCUUUGCAAACUCCGAAUACCAGUAAGUACUAUCCGGGAGACACACGGCGGGUGCUAACGUCCGUCGUGGAGAGGGAAACAACCCAGACCGCCAGCUAAGGUCCCAAAGUAUUGCUAAGUGGGAAACGAUGUGGGAAGGCUCAGACAGCUAGGAUGUUGGCUUAGAAGCAGCCAUCAUUUAAAGAAAGCGUAAUAGCUCACUAGUCGAGUCGGCCUGCGCGGAAGAUGUAACGGGGCUAAGCAAUACACCGAA
This 1147-nucleotide ribosomal RNA is filed under the name Vibrio cholerae. Its description in RNAcentral is "partial 23S ribosomal RNA". It matches the Rfam family "Bacterial large subunit ribosomal RNA", at positions 1 to 1198 of the family's 2925-position model. Lineage: Bacteria; Pseudomonadati; Pseudomonadota; Gammaproteobacteria; Vibrionales; Vibrionaceae. The record is from RNAcentral.